RNAcentral lists this transfer RNA (70 nucleotides) under Paratapes undulatus (undulate venus clam). RNAcentral's name for it is "tRNA-Leu". The record is from RNAcentral. Lineage: Eukaryota; Metazoa; Mollusca; Bivalvia; Venerida; Veneridae.
AUUGAAGUGGCAGAAAUAUGCGUCAAGUUUAAGCCUUGAAGAUGGGAUUGAGUUAUGUUCCCCUUCAGUA